Molecule: non-coding RNA, 97 nt
Organism: Acanthosepion pharaonis
Lineage: Eukaryota; Metazoa; Mollusca; Cephalopoda; Sepiida; Sepiidae
Source: the annotation of a GenBank genome assembly
UGAAAUAUUGGUUCCCAUAUGAUCACAGAUGUUAAGCAACAUUAAGCUAAAUCAGUACUUAGAGGGGUGACUACUUGAGAAUACCAGGUGCUGUAAG